AACGAACGCUGGCGGCAGGCCUAACACAUGCAAGUCGAGCGAGAUCUUCGGGUCUAGCGGCGGACGGGUGAGUAACGCGUGGGAAUAUGCCUCUUGGUACGGAAUAGCUUCGGGAAACUGGGAGUAAUACCGUAUGUGCCCUUUGGGGGAAAGAUUUAUCGCCAAGAGAUUAGCCCGCGUUGGAUUAGGUAGUUGGUGGGGUAAUGGCCUACCAAGCCGACGAUCCAUAGCUGGUUUGAGAGGAUGAUCAGCCACACUGGGACUGAGACACGGCCCAGACUCCUACGGGAAGCAGCAGUGGGGAAUCUUAGACAAUGGGGGCAACCCUGAUCUAGCCAUGCCGCGUGAGUGAUGAAGGCCUUAGGGUUGUAAAGCUCUUUCAGCUGGGAAGAUAAUGACGGUACCAGCAGAAGAAGCCCCGGCUAACUCCGUG
RNAcentral lists this ribosomal RNA (433 nucleotides) under uncultured bacterium. RNAcentral's name for it is "partial 16S ribosomal RNA". It matches the Rfam family "Bacterial small subunit ribosomal RNA", at positions 29 to 507 of the family's 1533-position model. The record is from RNAcentral.